AGAGUAAAAAUGUGUUCGUGAAGUGCCUGGUGAACGGGGAGUUGUCAUCGGGACGAAAAGGCUGAUAUGAAUCAGUCUUGCGGUUCACAUUUUGCAUCCCGCU
Molecule: non-coding RNA, 103 nt
Filed under: uncultured Ruminococcus sp.
Lineage: Bacteria; Bacillati; Bacillota; Clostridia; Eubacteriales; Oscillospiraceae
Description: THF riboswitch
Rfam family: THF (Tetrahydrofolate) riboswitch aptamer
About the family: THF riboswitch presents a pseudoknot that joins P1-P2 and the loop of P3 and two THF binding.
Source: RNAcentral